This 1153-nucleotide long non-coding RNA is filed under the name Anser cygnoides (Swan goose). RNAcentral describes it as "lncRNA (ENSACDG00005000348.1)". The record is from RNAcentral. Lineage: Eukaryota; Metazoa; Chordata; Aves; Anseriformes; Anatidae.
AUGUCCUGGCUGUAGAGUAAAAAAGACUAAUUCCAUCAUGACCCAGCAGCUGGAGAGGUUCAUUUGGAAAAGACUGAGCCCUGAAUGAGAAUUUCAGUACUGCUUCCAAUGGGGGGAAAAAGUAUUUAUAUCGAUGUGACCGUCAUGACAGUUCUACACCGUGAAUUUGUUAGAGGUCCUCUCCAGAAACUAGGAGUUUAUUUUCCCAUGUUGCCUCCUGUCCCAACUCACAGGGCAUUAUUUCAACCCACAAUCCACAGAACAGGUGAGACAUACCACAGAUGCCUACUCCCUGCACACAUUGCAUGCUGUUUAUACAUUAUACACACAUGCUAUUUAACAUACUUUUUAUGUUUUUAAGAGCAGCUGAAGAAUCUUUUAUGAACACAAAUCUUAUUUUCACAUGUGGCUCUGUAUAAUGAAUUUUUCAAAGAUUUUCACACCUACUCUAAGUGAAAUUAUAUCUUGGGAAAGUAUAGCUUGAUUGUUAAUUCUGAACCAUGUUGAAGUUCCUGCCUAUUCUGUUUUAAUCUGAAUUGCUCUUUUGAAUGUAUUUUAUAUUAGGAUUUGGAAACAGAUACAGUUCUUCUAUUUUUGUUUAAUAUAUUUUUAAAAUUUUUAUUCUUUUAUUUUUUUUGCACACAGGGUUGGGUGCACAUAUAUUAUUGUGGCUCUCUUUUUGCCAUUUACAAAGGAAUUGUACAUUCUGACAAUAUCGUGUGCACCAAAUCAAUGAAAUAUCCUGUGUUUUCUAUUCAUUAAGCCCCUAAAGCACUAUGUGCAAAUUCCCUCACUUUAAUUACACACCUCAGGGAUGUGCAGGCCAAAAAGGAGGCAGUCAGACAAAAAAGCCUGGUCUCUGCCAAAAGGAAAAAAGAAUAACUGGUAAACAUUUAUUUUCAGCAGGGAAAUCUGCUAUUAAUUCAUAUAGUGACUUUCCCCAGCUGAAAUAAUGAGGAAAGCCAAGUGAACCAAAUGUUCACAGUGAGCAAACAUGAACAGUAGGAAAUCAGCCCAUCUUGUAUUUACAUGUUUAUUCCAUCAGCCUUUGAAGAACAUUUGCACGAUCCCCCCUUUUUUUUUUUUUUUUCCAACGAGUGUCAACGUUUACUCACACUCCUCCGGGGGUGACUCGCCAGCAAGGAGAGGCAGC